GUGAUUUUAAGCAAUAACAAAUAAUGGAUCUUAAGUCCCAACAAUACAAUAAAGUUAAAAUGUAAAAAGACCAGCAAUACCACACUAACAAUUUCAGCUGAAUUCAUGUUCCAACUAAAGAUCACCACUACCACACUUCAGUUAGUGCAUUCAACAACAAUUUAAGAGGGUAAAAUACAUAAGUUUAAGAGGGCAUUUCCUCACAAUGAACUUCAUCAAGGUAAAAUUUCGAUCCAAAAGAAAUAUGAAUAAUUAUAAACAAUCCAACUUGGUCAAGGUUUAACUUUUAAGUUUAGAUAUUGAAACUAAAAUUUGCUUGACCGCCUUAUCAAACCCAGCAUUGUGCUGCAUUGGAAUUUCAGUCUUCAGCUUUCAAAUCUUCAAUACACAAAAUCAUUCAAUGAGACAUUUUUGGUAGUGUCAACAACAUUUCAAUCCGCAAACUGUCACAUUGCAAGCAAAAAAUCAACAACAUUUCUAACCAUUCAACAACAACACUUAUAUUUAGGCAGUGUCAUUUCAAUCUGCAAACUAUCACAUUGCAGUCUAACUAACUAUAAUCAACAUUAACAAACAUAUUUCUAACAAAUUUCAUCAUUAACAAUCCAAAAAACAAAAACAAAAAUUCAUUGAGACAUUUUAUCAAACACCUAGAGUUCAUAUUUCAAUCAACUUAAAAUCAAACAAUUUCAAAUACCUAAAACUACCACAUUUCACUCUAAACAACAUCUAAAAUACAUUUUCUAACUUAAUUUAUCACUAACAAUCAUCAAAACUAACACGCAAGACAAAUUCAUAAAAACCUAGAAAUGUUAAAUUUCUUACAAAAUUCUAAAAUUUCAACCAAAAAAAAUGGAAUGGAGUAGGAUGAUCAUCACUUACUUGAUAUUGUGGGAGAAAUUGGCUUUGAUUGGCGCAAGAAUGGUGAAAAUCGCACUUGGAGGAGAAAAUUUUGUUUUUUGAGAAGUUGGAAAAAUGAAGGUUUGUGUUUUUGUUUUGAUGAUAUAACACUUAAGUCACGCUUAAGGAAACAAUUGGCGUGAGUUAACCCACGUAGGAGUAAAUUUGUCUGUUCAGUUGGGGAUGAGCAAUUUUUGUUGGGUAAAGAGCAGAAUUCAUCUUUAUAUUGUAACUAGACGCUUGACCCCCGCUAUCGCGCGGGUUUGUUAUAGACUAUUGAUCAAUAUGUUUUGAUUACAAUCAACUCAAUCAAUUUGAAAAAUAUAUCAUGUGUGC
This 1236-nucleotide long non-coding RNA is filed under the name Medicago truncatula (barrel medic). Its description in RNAcentral is "long non-coding RNA (MTRU_LNC003139)". Lineage: Eukaryota; Viridiplantae; Streptophyta; Magnoliopsida; Fabales; Fabaceae. The record is from RNAcentral.